UACGGAGGGGGCCAGCGUUGUUCGGAAUCACUGGGCGUAAAGAGCUCGUAGGCGGUCUGUCACGUCUGCUGUGAAAACUCGGGGCUUAACCCCGGGCCUGCAGUGGGUACGGGCAGACUAGAGUGCGGUAGGGGAGACUGGAAUUCCUGGUGUAGCGGUGAAAUGCGCAGAUAUCAGGAGGAACACCGAUGGCGAAGGCAGGUCUCUGGGCCACUACUGACGCUGAGAAGCGAAAGCAUGGGGAGCGAACAGG
Molecule: ribosomal RNA, 253 nt
Filed under: uncultured bacterium
Lineage: Bacteria
Description: partial 16S ribosomal RNA
Rfam family: Bacterial small subunit ribosomal RNA
Source: RNAcentral